This 834-nucleotide long non-coding RNA is filed under the name Piliocolobus tephrosceles (Ugandan red Colobus). Its description in RNAcentral is "lncRNA (ENSPTEG00000019240.1)". The record is from RNAcentral. Lineage: Eukaryota; Metazoa; Chordata; Mammalia; Primates; Cercopithecidae.
AAAUAAUGAACAAUAAAAUAAUGAACAAUAAAAUAAUGAAUAAUAAAAUAAUGAACAAUAAAAUAAUGAACAACAAAAUACUUAAUAGUAAAAAUUUUAAACUACAAAAAAAAAAUUUAUUAAAACAAUGUUAAAAAAAAAAGAACGUCAUAAAAUAAGCAUUAUCGUUCUAAAUUAGCGUAACCAUAAGGAAACAAAACGUUUCAAAAAAUGUGGUACAUUUAUAAGUAAAAUUAUAUAAGUUUUUUUAUUUUUUUGUACUUUUUGUUUUCUCCCUUGUUCGCAUCUUAUUUUUCUCUCGCUUUUAUUUUUAUUUUUUUUUUAUUUUUAUUUUUUUUGUUUUUAAUUUGUGUUAAAAAACAUACGUUAUAAUUUACAAAAACAAAAUGUUUAGUAAACUUAUGUUUUAUAGAAAACUUUGAAAUUUUUCAGAAAAAAAAAAAAAAAAAAAAAAUGAUAUCUUCUUUUUUAUUGAAGAGAAAAGUAGUUGAAAAUAUCUGUAAGAACAUGUUUAGAAUGUUAGGUAAACGUAACUUACAUGACAAAACAUAUAUAGAACAAACAAACAUAUAUGAUAACUAUGAAAUAUUAAAAAAAUUUAAAAACAAGAACACGUUGAAAUAUUCGUUGAAAAAAUUUAGAGAAAUAGUUCAAAAAGAAACCCAAAAAAAGGCUUAUAAUUUUUAUAAAGGAUGGCCACCAAGAGACAGAAUAAAAAUUACAGAUGACGAAAAGGUACUUUAUAUAUUUAGCUAGUAAUAUAAAUAAUUUCCGUGUUUUUGCUCAUGUAUAUAUAUAUAUAUAUAUUUACAUAGUGUGCUUAUAAAAAAGGGG